Molecule: long non-coding RNA, 1191 nt
Organism: Gallus gallus (chicken)
Lineage: Eukaryota; Metazoa; Chordata; Aves; Galliformes; Phasianidae
Source: Ensembl
CCCUGAUUUGCCUCCAUUUGCUCCCUUAGUUCAGAAGCCGAGACUUGAAAGCUGUCCUGUGGAGGAUAAAAGACACAUCAGCUGGCUGAACAUUUGUAAGAGCCUCAUAAAGCGACAUCUUCAGCAUGAAGCAGCUGACUGGAGCCAGACGCAGAAUUAUUUCAACACCUGUUGAAACAAGCUGUCUUGGGUCAGGUCCAACCUGUUGGUAACAGCUGGGUGCUGGAGCACAGAAUCAGCCAUGGCAGGGACCAGAAAUGCCACCAAAGUCAUUGCAAGGGACAGAGUUAAGUUUGUUUGAAAACGAGGAACCUGUGCUGACCGCGUGGUGAAAAAUGCUUCCUACAUAUCUUUCUAGAUAAGAACAUUACUGAGAGGAACCGCAUUAUUGAUUCUAUAUUCAUUGAAGUUGUUAUGAAGAUUCCCAGAUGUCAACACCACAAGAUGGAAACCACUUCUAAAUGUACAGCUUGAGUGAAGAAUACACGGACAGAGAUUAUUUAAAAUACGCUUGGGAUGAUCAGCACAUCCAGUUUUAGAAAAUGUAUUUUUGGUGAAGCAUUAAUAUUUAAUUAUACUACAGAGAAGCUGUUUGAACACUUAGAAAGAAUUGGGCCGUUUUUAGAGGCCGUACUCCUGCUUAAAUGUUGCAUCCAAUGGACAGUGGUUCUUUUUGCCACAUGUACAGCAUUUACCGUGUUCCAUAACACAACUUAUCUGAUACCCUCGGGAUGUGAUGCAAGAUAGCACAUGACCAUUCUGAAGCCUGUGGUGCACAUAAUGCUAUCUUCCAGCCAGGCAAAAAUCUCCAUCAACUGCAAGAGGGGCCAAUAAGGAGCAUCUCAGUUAUCCUCACCUGAAUUCAGAAACUUCCUUCACUGUAAAUCCCACUCAGACAAAAGAAAGCAGCAAAUUGUCAAUUGGGUUGCGGGGCAUUUUUUACCAGUGCCAGUCUGUCCUUGGAAAAAAUGGCCUAUUCUGGUUUUCAAUGUUUUUAGUUAAAAUUUGUCUCAUUUGAGGAUCAUCUGAUGCCCGUUGUCUGACAACUCUUAGAAAAAAUAAAUAUUCAUAUAAUUCUAUUCUUAAGUUUCGAGCAAGGUUGACAAUUGUAUAUUUACAAAACAAACAACCACAAAACCCACAAACCCACCCACACAAACCACACAUACAAGCACACCGAGAGCAUGAACC